RNAcentral lists this ribosomal RNA (253 nucleotides) under uncultured bacterium. RNAcentral describes it as "partial 16S ribosomal RNA". It matches the Rfam family "Bacterial small subunit ribosomal RNA", at positions 524 to 776 of the family's 1533-position model. The record is from RNAcentral.
UACGGAGGGUGCGAGCGUUAAUCGGAAUUACUGGGCGUAAAGCGCACGUAGGCUGUCAUGUAAGUCAGGGGUGAAAUCCCACGGCUCAACCGUGGAACUGCCCUUGAUACUGCGUGACUUGAAUCCGGGAGAGGGUGGCGGAAUUCCAGGUGUAGGAGUGAAAUCCGUAGAUAUCUGGAGGAACAUCAGUGGCGAAGGCGGCCACCUGGACCGGUAUUGACGCUGAGGUGCGAAAGCGUGGGGAGCAAACAGG